CCUUGAUCAUGUCUAUGUGAAGUUUACAGGCCCUUCCAAACAACUGUUAUUGUUUAUUAACGUGUUUAAUAGGCCCAACUGCAAGGUUUUGAAAGAGAUCAUGGCAAUAUUGUGUGACAUAACCCUUAUGAACUUGAUGAAAUACGGCUUCUGAACGAGUAGAGGGUUGAUGCUUAUUUUUUUGGUAAAAUAUUUGCUGUUACAUAGCUGGAAAUUUGAUCCUUUCAACAAGGGGGGAAAAAUCAAUUUCACUUUCAGCUGAACAAACUCGUGGAUGCAUAGCUUUUCGAAUGAAAGUCGACUGGUGAUUGUUUAAAUGUCAAAGCAUGAUGUUUAUUUAUGCACUUAUGAGCAUGCGAAAUUGAGGCUGGCAAAUUUUGAAUCCUUUUUUCAUUAUAGUGGGUGUGUGACUCUGCUAUGAAUCAUUUCAUUUUUGAGAACAGGUAAGAAAAUUUGAAAGGCAAGACUAGACAGUAGGCACUUUUACUGCUGGAUCCUCUAAAAUUAGGUGCCCGAGGUGGGUAUUAAAAACUUGAUCUUUAUAGACGUGGAUAAUCACGAAGUGGGCACAUUUGAUUGAUGUAAAGCAAUGAGAAAGUGUAAGAACCAGCUUAGGUUGAUAUGCUAGUUGUUAUCAGCAGCUUAAACCGUGAGUUUCUUUACAGAUGUUAUGGCAAUGAUUUUGCUGUCUAAGCUGAGAUUACCGAACUGCAGUCAGAAAGCUACUGUCUUGAUAGUGCUUCCUAUAGUAAAGUUCGCUAUUUGUUGCUCAGUUCUGAUUGCCAAUCGGUUUUCAAUAGGUGAAGCCAAGUGAAGUCAUAGUGUUACUGUUUUUGCUGCUCUUAAUUUUGCGAACUUGAGGUAGACAGUGUAGAGUUUGGUGUAAUUGGUUGCUUGAUUCUCAUAAAGUUGAAUGGCUAUUAACGAAUAGUGGAAUACCCAUUGUGUGUUUGGUUUUAGUUACACAUUAUUGUCAAUGUUUAGGUAUCUUCGGCAAAAUUUGGCACUGGUAGCAUCUGGUUUCAGCUGACUGUGUCCCUGAUAUUUUCAUGGCUGCUGGAGUUUUUUGCCAGAUUGAUGUGCAUACCGUCACAAAAAAUUCUCCUUCCACUGGUGUUUCCUUUACACAUACUGUGCCUCAUGGGGCUGAAAUCUCACGUUUCGGUGGUAGUCCUGCUUCACUAGAUGGUUAUCCGGAAUCUUCAAUCAACAAGCCAGCAGAUUGCAAUUCCCUUAAAGAUGUACACAUUUCAGCUAGGUUGCUGGAAGAUUUUCUUGACCUUGCGAUUGAGAACACCAAAAACAGUUUAGAGACCUGUGGAGUCCUUGGUGCCUGCCUUGAAGAGAGGAACAUUUAUGUGACCAAUUUGAUAGUGCCUAAACAAGAAUCCACACCCAACUCUUGUCAAGCGUUAAAUGAGGAGGAGAUAUUUGCCAUACAAAGUCAACAGUCCCUUGUUCCGAUUGGAUGGAUUCAUACGCAUCCUUCCCAAAGCUGCUUCAUGUCAUCAGUCGAUUUGCACACUCAAUAUUCAUAUCAGGUUAUGGUACCUGAGGCUGUUGGCAUUGUUCUGGCUCCAAAUGACGAGUCAAGGUAAUCUAAGUCCAUCACAGAUUUGCAAACUCGUCCAAAGAACCAUCAACAAUGGAGGUUUUCUGCAGAUUCUUUUCAUGAAUAUGAAUGAAAUAUGGCGUAUUUAGACUGUCUGACCCUGUUGGGAUGAGCAUCCUGAAGGAGUGCAAAGAGAAGGGAUUUCAUUCUCAUGCACAACCAGCUGACGGAAGUUCCAUAUAUGAGAACUGUUCCAAUGUCUAUAUGAAUCCAAAUCUGAGAUUGGAAGUAUGUGAUUUACGAUGAGGCUGCCGUGACAUCUUGCCUUCUUUCGUCAUUCAUUCUAUGUUUCGUGGAGUAUUAAAAUACUCAAAAACAGACUACGGUGCAGGACAGGAUACAUAUGAUCAAACACUAAAAAGAAAAGUGGAUGAAUGCGGAAGAAAGUGGUUACAUUCAGAAGGGCACAUUUCUCUGUGUGGUGUGUCUGUUUAAGAUUCCAGUGAACUUGAUUUGUGUGUAUAUUACAAUGUAGCUGAAGAUUUCAGAAAGUUUCUGAGGAAUGGAACUUUUUAUCGUGGUGUAACAUGUGUUUGUCUUCCCUUGAUACUAGGUUUUUUUUUGGUCUUCCUCCUCGUCACUUGAUUUGAUGUUUCUGGCCUCUUAUGCCGUAGGACCAAGAAUUUGUGCCUCGGUGGUACUGCAGCCAUGAUCUAGUUUUUUCAAUAUAACUCAAAGUUGUAUUAGCAAUUUA
Molecule: non-coding RNA, 2306 nt
Organism: Coffea arabica (coffee)
Lineage: Eukaryota; Viridiplantae; Streptophyta; Magnoliopsida; Gentianales; Rubiaceae
Source: RefSeq, a predicted model, not a curated record